CCUACGGGAGGCAGCAGUGGGGAAUAUUGCACAAUGGGGGAAACCCUGAUGCAGCGACGCCGCGUGAGUGAGGAAGUAUUUCGGUAUGUAAAGCUCUAUCAGCAGGGAAGAAGAAAUGACGGUACCUGACUAAGAAGCCCCGGCUAACUACGUGCCAGCAGCCGCGGUAAUACGUAGGGGGCAAGCGUUAUCCGGAUUUACUGGGUGUAAAGGGAGCGCAGGCGGCAUGAUAAGUCUGAUGUGAAAACCCAAGGCUCAACCAUGGGACUGCAUUGGAAACUGUCGUGCUGGAGUGUCGGAGAGGUAAGCGGAAUUCCUAGUGUAGCGGUGAAAUGCGUAGAUAUUAGGAGGAACACCAGUGGCGAAGGCGGCUUACUGGACGAUGACUGACGCUGAGGCUCGAAAGCGUGGGGAGCAAACAGGA
Molecule: ribosomal RNA, 424 nt
Filed under: uncultured Collinsella sp.
Lineage: Bacteria; Bacillati; Actinomycetota; Coriobacteriia; Coriobacteriales; Coriobacteriaceae
Description: bacterial SSU rRNA
Rfam family: Bacterial small subunit ribosomal RNA
Source: RNAcentral